RNAcentral lists this ribosomal RNA (1431 nucleotides) under Triticum aestivum (bread wheat). RNAcentral's name for it is "partial small subunit ribosomal RNA". Lineage: Eukaryota; Viridiplantae; Streptophyta; Magnoliopsida; Poales; Poaceae. The record is from RNAcentral.
AUGGGCAGCAUCGAGCACAUGGAAGCUGCCGGCACUGUCCGGAUCGUAUCCCGGCGCAUGGUCCGGCCGUCCAGCGGUGGCGGCACGCCGCCGUCGGAGGUCAUCCACCUAACGCCAUGGGACCUCCGCCUCCUCACCAUAGACCACAUCCAGAAGGGCAUCCUCCUGCCCAAGCCCCCCGUCGGCGGCAAGCGCCUCGUAGACGCCCUCGCGUCCUCCUUGGCGUGCGCCCUGGACCGGUACUGCUACUUUGCCGGCCGGCUCGCCGUCGAGGAGCUCGGCGACAGGACCGUCACCGUCGCUCUGCGCUGCACAGGGGAUGGCGCCGAGCUCGUCCACGCGGCGGCGCCCGGCGUGGCCGUCGCGGACCUCGUCGGCUCGGUGCACACCCCAUCGCCGGUGGUCUGGGACUUGUUCUCGCUGAACGGUGUGCUUGACGCGGACGCGGCCAUCGAGUCACUCCCCGUGCUGUCUGCGCAGGUCACUGAGCUCGCCGACGGCGUCUUCGUCGCCGUGUCCAUGAACCACUCCGUCGGCGACGGCACCUCCUUCUGGGAGUUCUUCAAUGCAUGGUCGGAGAUCCACCGACACCGAGCCGACGUCAAUGGCGUCAUCACAGACAACGGCCUAAACAAGAUGAAGAUGGUCUCGACGCCGGCGCCGGUGCUCGCGAGGUGGUUCGUGGAGACGAGCCCCGUGCCAAUCCCCUUACCGUUCAGCAAGCUGCAGCACGUCCUGCGGCGGUUCGAGCUCCCGCCGGUGCGAGAAGGCUUCUUCACCUUCUCCGCCGCGAGCGUGAAGAAGCUCAAGGCGAGGGCGAACGCCGAGAUGGCGGGCGUCGCCACCGCGCCCAUCUCGUCGCUGCAGGCCUUGCUCGCGCACCUCUGGCGGGCAGUGUGCCGAGCCCGGCGCCUCGCACCGGGGCAGGAGACGUUCUACGCCGUCAUCAUCGGGUGCCGGGGGCGCGUGCGCGGCAUCCCGCCGGGCUACGUGGGCAACGCCGUGGUGCCCGGCAGGGCGGUCUGCGCGGCCGGCGAGGUCCUGGAGAAAGGGCUGGGCUGGACGGCGUGGCAGCUGAACCGCGCCGUGGCGUCGUUCGACGAGGCGGCGCUGAGGGGGUUCCUGGAACGCUGGGUCCGGGAACCGACGUUCUCGUUCACCGGGGACCUGUCGUCGGCGGCGGGGGGCGCGGGGCUGGAGACCGAGAGCUCGCCGCGGUUCGACGUGUUCGGGAACGACUUCGGGUGGGGACGGCCGGUGGGCGUGCGGAGCGGCCUCGGCGACAAGACGGACGGGAAGGCGACGGUGUUCGAGGGGCCGGAGCGGGGAGGGAGCAUGUCGCUGGAGGUGUGCCUGGCGCCGGACGCGCUGGAGAGGCUGGUCGCGGACCACGAGUUCAUGGACGCCGUGACCCUUCCCGCGCGCGUGUGA